UGGGGAAUAUUGCACAAUGGGCGCAAGCCUGAUGCAGCCAUGCCGCGUGUGUGAAGAAGGCCUUCGGGUUGUAAAGCACUUUCAGCGAGGAGGAAGGGUAGUGUGUUAAUAGCACAUUGCAUUGACGUUACUCGCAGAAGAAGCACCGGCUAACUCCGUGCCAGCAGCCGCGGUAAUACGGAGGGUGCAAGCGUUAAUCGGAAUUACUGGGCGUAAAGCGCACGCAGGCGGUUUGUUAAGUCAGAUGUGAAAUCCCCGCGCUUAACGUGGGAACUGCAUUUGAAACUGGCAAGCUAGAGUCUUGUAGAGGGGGGUAGAAUUCCAGGUGUAGCGGUGAAAUGCGUAGAGAUCUGGAGGAAUACCGGUGGCGAAGGCGGCCCCCUGGACAAAGACUGACGCUCAGGUGCGAAAGCGUGGGGAGCGAACA
This 427-nucleotide ribosomal RNA is filed under the name uncultured bacterium. RNAcentral's name for it is "partial 16S ribosomal RNA". It matches the Rfam family "Bacterial small subunit ribosomal RNA", at positions 355 to 774 of the family's 1533-position model. The record is from RNAcentral.